This 68-nucleotide transfer RNA is filed under the name Crax daubentoni. RNAcentral describes it as "tRNA-Gly". Lineage: Eukaryota; Metazoa; Chordata; Aves; Galliformes; Cracidae. RNAcentral also lists the same sequence under 4 other names. The record is from RNAcentral.
CUCUUCUAGUAUACUAAUUACAAUUGACUUCCAAUCUCUAAAAUCUGGCACUAAUCCAGAGAAGAGCA